GACAGAGGCCUCGAGCGUUAGGCGGAAUCACUGGGCUUAAAGCGUGUGUAGGCGGGCCCGUAAGUGUCUUGUGAAAUCCCACGGCUCAACCGUGGAACUGCUGGGCAUACUGCGGGUCUUGGGCCAACUAGGGGCAGCCGGAACAAGCGGUGGAGCGGUGAAAUGCGUAGAUAUCGCUUGGAACGCCAAUGGUGAAAACAGACAGCUGGGAGUGUGCUGACGCUGAGACACGAAAGCCAGGGGAGCGAACGGG
RNAcentral lists this ribosomal RNA (253 nucleotides) under uncultured bacterium. RNAcentral describes it as "partial 16S ribosomal RNA". It matches the Rfam family "Bacterial small subunit ribosomal RNA", at positions 524 to 776 of the family's 1533-position model. The record is from RNAcentral.